GGAUUAGAUACCCUGGUAGUCCACGCCGUAAACGAUGAGAACUAGAUGUCGGGAGGAUCUGCCUUUCGGUGUCGUAGCUAACGCGUUAAGUUCUCCGCCUGGGGAGUACGCCGGCAACGGUAAAACUCAAAGGAAUUGACGGGGACCCGCACAAGCGGUGGAGCAUGUGGUUUAAUUCGAUGCAACGCGAAAAACCUUACCUACACUUGACAUACUUCGAAUUUUCUAGAGAUAGAUUAGUGCCUUAGGGAACGAAGAUACAGGUGCUGCAUGGCUGUCGUCAGCUCGUGUCG
This 293-nucleotide ribosomal RNA is filed under the name uncultured bacterium. Its description in RNAcentral is "partial 16S ribosomal RNA". It matches the Rfam family "Bacterial small subunit ribosomal RNA", at positions 775 to 1067 of the family's 1533-position model. The record is from RNAcentral.